CUAAAAUGAGAUUUUCUGACCUUCUAG
RNAcentral lists this non-coding RNA (27 nucleotides) under Cricetulus griseus (Chinese hamster). The record is from RNAcentral. Lineage: Eukaryota; Metazoa; Chordata; Mammalia; Rodentia; Cricetidae.